Molecule: ribosomal RNA, 335 nt
Filed under: uncultured bacterium
Lineage: Bacteria
Description: bacterial SSU rRNA
Rfam family: Bacterial small subunit ribosomal RNA
Source: RNAcentral
AUCAACGCUGGCGGCGUGCCUAACACAUGCAAGUCGAACGCGAGAGGGGCUUCGGCCCUGAUUGAGUGGCAAACGGGUGAGUAACGCGUGGGUGACCUACCUUCGAGUGGGGGAUAACGUUCCGAAAGGGACGCUAAUACCGCAUAACAUCCUGUCUUUGGACAGAUGGAGAUCAAAGCCGGGAUCGUAAGACCUGGCGCUUGAGGAGGGGCCCGCGUCCGAUUAGCUAGUUGGUGGGAAUGGCUCACCAAGGCAACGAUCGGUAGCCGGCCUGAGAGGGCGGACGGCCACACUGGGACUGAGACACGGCCCAGGCUCCUACGGGAGGCAGCAGU